UACGUAGGGGGCUAGCGUUGUCCGGAAUCAUUGGGCGUAAAGCGCGUGUAGGCGGUCCGGUAAGUCCGCUGUGAAAGUCGGGGGCUCAACCCUGGAAUGCCGGUGGAUACUGUCGGGCUCGAAUCCGGAAGAGGUGAGUGGAAUUCCUGGUGUAGCGGUGAAAUGCGCAGAUAUCAGGAGGAACACCAAUGGCGAAGGCAGCUCACUGGGACGGUAUUGACGCUGAGACGCGAAAGCGUGGGGAGCAAACAGG
This 253-nucleotide ribosomal RNA is filed under the name uncultured bacterium. RNAcentral describes it as "partial 16S ribosomal RNA". It matches the Rfam family "Bacterial small subunit ribosomal RNA", at positions 524 to 776 of the family's 1533-position model. The record is from RNAcentral.